RNAcentral lists this long non-coding RNA (331 nucleotides) under Hordeum vulgare. Its description in RNAcentral is "long non-coding RNA (HVUL_LNC008594)". Lineage: Eukaryota; Viridiplantae; Streptophyta; Magnoliopsida; Poales; Poaceae. The record is from RNAcentral.
CCACGACCCCCCGUGGAACUGUGCCGUGGGUUUCUUUCUUGCUUUCUUUCCCGGACGUGUGUGUAUGGCUGUUGUGGACUGGUGCUUCUGUGAAGGGAGUGGGUGCAGUGUUUGGUUGUUUAACAGGUUACGUCAGUGUGGCACGAGAUCCUGGUUUUUGUGGUGUUUGAAAAGGAUGGUUGAGGGGACGGGAGCCAGGAUUUCGACAUAGGGGAAAAGCGGAAUUGAUAUCACCCAUAAAAGUUGGAGUUUCUUGAACGUCAUUUAUCAAAUCUACCAUGAAUGAGUCCUACAUAUGCAUCAGAAUGAAACUACCAUCACUUGUACACAG